Molecule: long non-coding RNA, 3794 nt
Organism: Hemicordylus capensis (graceful crag lizard)
Lineage: Eukaryota; Metazoa; Chordata; Lepidosauria; Squamata; Cordylidae
Exons: 7
Source: RefSeq, a predicted model, not a curated record
UCCACAGUGGUGCAUCACAACUUCAGCAGUUCUGCCACAGAGCUUGUGGUGGGCAGUGGUGAGCCUGAGCCAGCUCAGGGAGGGUUGGAGUCUGGCUUGAGGAUUCUUCUGAAGCAGCUGACUAGCUGACUUUUAUUGCAAGACAGAGAACACAAGAUCUCUCCACUGAUCCUGCAAGGAGCAGCCUUCGAUGGUGAGCAAAGAAGCAGUACCGCAGUCCCCUCUCGGGAGCAGCACCUGGCUCUAGAAUGCUGCCAUGAAUGUCUUCAACUCUCUGCAUUGUAUGUAUUGAAGAGAUUGGAUAUGCUGCACUUGUUGAUCAUCCAUGAUGGACACAACAGCCUCUGUUUUUCAGGAGGAGCCCUGGAAGGGGCAGAGAGAAGAACUAGCACAGGCCCAGCCCUGGCAGCAGCACGAUCAUCUAGAAUGCCAGAAACCAGCUCUGCUCCUCCCUGCCACUGGAGCAGGCUUUGAAGGGGUUGAAAGAAGCAAGACCACGGUGCCUCCCUCAGCAGCACUCUCUCUCUCUCUCUGGCAGUCGGCUCCUGGUGUUCUGCAGGGCAGCCUUGGAAGUGAUGGGAAGAAUUCGUGUGGUCCAUGAUGAAGGAAAACCAGGUUCUGGCUGGUCCAGGCCUGUGCACGUCGAUAGUUGGCAAUAAAUGUAAGUGCUGUUAUGAAUGUAAUAACCAUUUUUGGGUUAUGCCUUUUGCACACAGUUAGUAUGCUGCUGUAUCGAGUAAGAUGGUGAACUAGUUCUCUGAAUGGCCACUGAUGCCAAACACAAAUUAUCACUUGUGUUUCUGGGUUGAGGGACACUUCACACCAUCACAGCCCGAUCUGCCAGCUGAUAGGCUAAGUGUCUGGUUGUUUCCGGCUGGUGAACCGCAUGGAGCCUCGGCCUACUUGUCAGUCUUGGGGAACACCACAGAGUGACGAUAGGUGGAAAUCAAAGUGUCCAGGGACAGACUCUCCAGUUGGAUUUGUGUGCCAAUGCUAUGGCACUUGAUCUACCCAGUACAUGCAGAAGUGGAGCCAGAUGGUUUAGUUUCCUAGCACUGGAAGCUUUGAUCCUAAGAUGCCGUUGCACCUCAGGAGCUAUCUGCACCUGAAUUUCCCAAGACAAAUGGAUGUCUGGUACCUGUCGGAUGAGGAGGUGGGCAGCGGUGAAGGGGGUGAUCAGGAUGGCAACCGCACUUGCUACGCCACAGCUCUUGGUGACUCAGCUUCUCUCUGCACCGGCCCUGCCCUCUUUGCCCACGCUGGUGCACUCUUUUCCUUCUGUCAUGGGGCUGCAGCUGGCUAGGGAAUUGGUAGCAAAGGUUUGCCUCUCCCCGCCAGAUUUGUUGGAUGGGUGGCACGUUACCACCACCACCACCACCACCACCACCACAGCAAACCAAUAAAUCCUAACCUGCAACUUCAGCCUGUUCAGUCUAGGCAGCUUGUUCAGCCAGCCCCUUGGACUCCCUCAGCCAGGAGUGAAGCAUAAGGCCACCCUGCUGCCAUCUGCCUUGACCCUCAUGCUGGGUCUCCCCCUCUUUGACUUUGAAGACUCCCUCUGAAGAAUAUGGCUAUAAGCUCAUCUUUUUCCUCAAAGAAAAAUCUGUGUCUUCCAAAGUGAGACACUCUUUCUUAGUGAAAAAACUGCUCCAGCCCCUCUCUUUGGAUCCGGGAGCCCAGCUCUGUAAUUGGAUACCAGCGCAUACCAAGAAAAAACUCAGCCAGUCAGAACAACUGGGGUAGUGGUGAGCACCAGCUCACAGCUUACAUCAGGGGGCACAUCCAUGCAGCUUGGGAGGAACUUCAGUCGGACAAAGAAGCAGGCCAAGAACGGAGUGAGGCGGCGAAGGCAAAGUUCUGUCCCCAGGCUAACCAGCCAUGAGCUCAAACGGUUGCCAUUAUUGUGACCAGCCAGUUCACAGGGGAAACAAAGGAGAGGAAGAGGAGUGCCCAUGAUGUCCAUCAGCCAUGGGGCCUUGGUGCAGUGGCCAGCCGUGAUGAAAACUCCCAGGGCCCCAACAUGUUAACUCAGCUGAGCACUUUUGGAACUGGCUUCUUGUUGGUUGUCUGUGUCUUGUUCUGUAAAGGGAAAUGUUGUUGAUUCUCCAGUAAAUAUUGGCACAGUAUGUUUGACUGAAUGUUACUGACAAUGCAGUGAGAAAGGGCCAUAGUGCCUCACAGUUUCACAACCCGCCUCUGCGUAGGUUGGGCUCUUGUAUGUGAAAAUGUGUUUGUAAUGUGACAGCACUUCUGUAAACCUUUUGGGAAAGGACUUGCUCUGCAAAUUGAACACCAUUAUUCACAAUUAUCUGUGGACAUACCACAUAAUUGGGCUACUAAAUUAGUUAUGGCCUCAGCAACAGCAGGGGCUUCUCAGCAGUGCCUUGGGUGGCCAACUGAGGCACUGGAUGAGGGGCCUCCUUCUUUGUGGGCCUCCCCUGAAGAAAAAGGGAGCUCUGCUUAUGGCUGGACCAGAUACAUUACCCCUAAGAAGGGCAAGCUCUACUUUUCCCCCUCAUGGUAUCAAAUUUAUUGUGGUGGUUCUGCAGCUGUCUUUGCUACUGCUAAUAUGAUUUCCCACUACAGUAUGGACGAUGUUUCUGAUAUUGCAUUUCUGUUUUGGUGCUACAUCCAGGAGGCCCACAGGUGGCAUCAGACUGAGAGAACAGUGUGAACAACACAAUGCUCCACCCCUUGGGUUUCUAGUUGGGAGCUGUAAAGCCACAUGUCUUUGUCUAAGCCUCUAUAUGCUUUGCUUUCUGAGUCUGAGCAGAAAGAAGAUGUGAUGGAAUCCGUGGGAGCAGCAAGAUCAGCUAGACUGCUGGAAAGCUCCUCCCUGCUGGUGGUGAUGGAGCAGGCUCUGAAGGUGUGGAAAGAAGCAGUACCAGGGUCUCAAUCAGUAGGGGCAUCUUCUCUGUGCCCGAUGUUGCAGAGGAGCAGCUGCAGAAGUGGCAGAAACGAUCGGUGCAGCCACAGCCUCAGCCUCAGGUGCAACACGAUUCUCGGACACAAGAAACCUCUGUGACUGGUGGCAGACAUGCUUGACGUUUGGAUCUUGUCACGAACCCAGCUCUGACCGACAUGACUCGCAGGCCAGCAUGGGCGCCCUCAAAAACCCCUUGUCUGUGUUGUAGCUGGCUCUGUAUUGAGGCUUCUCUUCGCCUGCACUGUUGGCAGAAGCACCUUGCAGGAUGUCUUGCUUCUCAUUCCUGUGCUCUGCUCUUGGAUGUCUCCGCUCCUGACACUCAAACUCUGACUUUGCCUGCUUCGAAUGGACUGACACUUUCCUUCAGCCUCGCACCGCUCUUGCCCAGCUGGGACAGCCAGAAGACGGACACUGCUCAGCCUUGGCUCUGCUGCCUUGGUCAGCAUUGUGGUCUUCAUUUCCUAAGUACCUAAUAAUCUGCAUCUCCGGCCACUAACUACAUCAGUGUUGUCUUGGAGUCUCCUGUGAGAGGAGAGACGCUGUGCCCCUGGGGCUUAUAAAGAGGGAGGGCGUGCCCCCAAGAGGCACACUGGAUCUAGUCUUCCACCAAGUGAGACUACCUGUGACUCUAUCCAUCACCUGCCCUGCCUAGCAUCCCCCCCCCCCGUCUGAGGAAGCACCAGCUGCCACUGAGGGAUGGGCCUUGUCUGGGGCUACGCUGAGACUCUGGAAUCCAUUCCCUGCAGAAAUCAGAGCCUCCCCAUCUCAGACUACUUAAGACAUUGGACACAUUUCUUCACCCAAGCUUUUAAAGUAGAUGUGGCUUUAACUUCCUGGUCUUUGACUGUAAUAAAGAUGUGUAUCUGAA